GAGUUUGAUCCUGGCUCAGGAUGAACGCUAGCUGGAGGCUUAAUACAUGCAAGUCGAGCGGGAUUGGUAGCAAUACCAUGAGAGCGGCGCACGGGUGAGUAACGCGUACACGACCUACCUCUGACAGGGGGAUAGCCCUGGGAAACUGGGAUUAAUACCGCAUAUUAUUCUGAUUAAUAAAGGAUUGGAAUGAAAGUUCAGGCGGUCAGAGAUGGGUGUGCGUCUGAUUAGCUAGUUGGUAGGGUAACGGCCUACCAAGGCGAUGAUCAGUAGGGGGCGUGAGAGCGUGAUCCCCCACACGGGUACUGAGACACGGACCCGACUCCUACGGGAGGCAGCAGUAAGGAAUAUUGGACAAUGGCCGCAAGGCUGAUCCAGCCAUCCAGCGUGCAGGAAGAAGGCCCUAUGGGUUGUAAACUGCUUUUAUCAGGGAAUAAACCUCUGGAUUCACUCCGGAGCUGGAGGUACCUGAAGAAUAAGCACCGGCUAACUCCGUGCCAGCAGCCGCGGUAAUCCC
RNAcentral lists this ribosomal RNA (517 nucleotides) under uncultured bacterium. Its description in RNAcentral is "bacterial SSU rRNA". It matches the Rfam family "Bacterial small subunit ribosomal RNA", at positions 9 to 527 of the family's 1533-position model. The record is from RNAcentral.